UUGUAAACCCAAUUCAAUGGACUUUCCAAAUGGCCCCUAUCAUGAAUUAAUUUCAUCAAUUAAUUCAAUAGACUUUACAAACAGGCUCCCAGCAUGAAUUAAUUUCAUGAAUCAGCUUCAUGAACAUCUCGAUUUUAAACCCAAAUUCAAACGACCGAAACGUCGCUAAACUAAACCCAUAUGCAAACGACCGAAACGUCGUUAAACUAAACACAAAUUCAAACGACCGAAACGUCGCUAAACUAAACCCAAACCAAACGACCGAAACGUCGUUAAACUAAACCCAACGACCGAAAUGUCGGUAAACUAAACCCAACGACCGGAACGUCGUUAAACUAAACCCAACGAUCGGAACGUCGUUAAACUAAACCCAACGACCGGAACGUCGUUAAACUAAACCCAACGACCAAAGCGUCGUUAAACUAAACCCAACGACCGAAGCGUCGUUAAACUAAACCCAACGACCGAAACGUUGUUAAACUAAACCGAACGACCGGAACGUCGUUAAACUAAACAGAACGACCGAAACGUCGCUAAACUAAUCCAAACGACCGAAACGUCGCUAAACUAAACCCAUAUUCAGACGACCAAAACGUCGUUAAACUAAACCCAAAUCCAAACGACCGAAACGUCGUUAAACUAUACCCAAAUCCAAACGACCGAAACGUCGUUAAACUAAACCCAAAUCCAAACGACCGAAACGUCAUUAAACUAAACCCAAACUCAAACGACCGAAACGUCGUUAAACUAAACCCAAAUUCAAACGACCGAAAUGUCGUUAAACUAAACCCAAUGACCGAAACGUCGUUAAACUAAACCGAACGACCGAAAUGUCGUUAAACUAAACCCAACGACCGAAACGUCGGUAAACUAAAGCCAACGACCGAAAUGUCGUUAAAAUAAACCCAAUGACCGAAACGUCGUUAAACUAAACCAAAUGACCGAAAUGUCGUUAAACUAAACCCAACGACCGAAACGUCGUUAAACUAAACCCAAAUCCAAACGACCAAAACGUCGCUAAACUAAACCCAUAUUCAGACGACCGAAAUGUCGCUAAACUAAACCCGAAUCCAAACGACCGAAAUGUCGCUAAACUAAACCCAUAUUCAAACGACCGAAACGUCGUUAAACUAAACCCAAAUUCAAACGACCGAAUCGUCGCUAAACUAAACUCAAACCAAACGACCGAAACGUCGUUAAACUAAACCCAACGACCGAAACGUCGGUAAACUAAACCCAACGACCGAAACGUCGUUAAACUAACCCAACGACCGAAACGUCGUUAAACUAAAUCCAACGACCGAAACGUCGGUAAACUAAACCCAACGAUCGAAAUGUCGUUAAACUAAACCAAAUGACCGAAACGUCGGUAAACUAAACCCAACGACCGAAAUGUCGUUAAACUAAAUCUAACGACCGAAACGUCGGUAAACUAAACCCAACGACCGAAACAUUGUUAAAUUAAACCCAACGACCGAAACGUCGUUAAACUAAACGUAAACCCAACGACCGAAACGUCGCUAAGCUAAACCCAAAUUCAAACGACCGAAAAGUCGUUAAACUAAACCCAAAACUUCAAUCCACUACCAAGUUGCUAAAUUGAGUACCUAGUCUUAUAAAAUUAUGUGCGGUGGAGAAAUGCCCUUAUCUAAGCCAUGUACACGGCAGAUUAUAUUAAUAAAAUUUUAUUUGCCUGUUUU
RNAcentral lists this long non-coding RNA (1700 nucleotides) under Ananas comosus (pineapple). RNAcentral describes it as "long non-coding RNA (ACOM_LNC005744)". The record is from RNAcentral. Lineage: Eukaryota; Viridiplantae; Streptophyta; Magnoliopsida; Poales; Bromeliaceae.